AUUCUUGACUGACAAAGGCAGAAGGUCAAGACCACAGUUGCUGGGUUACCUCUUAAGAUUCUUUGCAGUGUUGGGGGUCCGUGACCAUCAUAAUUGUUCCGGUCAUAUUUUUACCUAUUAGCAUUAUCUGAGGGUCAAGCCAUCAGUUGUAUUUGAAAAAGGGAUUCUAGCAAAUGCUUAACUAAUGUGUAAAGGUUAACAAUCUGAGUUUGAUUCUUGUUUCUGCCAUUUGCUAGCUGUAUGAUCCUGGAUUUGGUGGCCACUCUAUAUGUGCUGCUGCUGCUGCUGCUAAGUCGCCUCAGUCGUGUCCGACUCUGUGCGACCCCAGAGACAGCAGCCCACUAGGCUCCUCUGUUCCUGGGAUUCUCCAGGCAAGAACACUGGAGUGGGUUGCCAUUUCCUUCUCCAAUGCAUGAAAGUGAAAAGUGAAUGUGAAGUCGCUCAGUCGUGUCCAACUCUUAGCGACCCCAUGGACUGCGGCCUACCAGGUUCCUCUGCUAGAUGUUUUUAAAUACGUUAUCUUCUUAAAUCUUUCCUGUUGUCCUGUAAGGUUUGCCUUGAAAAUGAAAGUCACUCGGUCAUGUGCGACUCUUUGUGACCCCAUGGACUUAGUCCAUGGAAUUCACCAGGCCAGAAUGCUGGAGUGAGUAAGCCUUUCCCCUUCUCCGGGGGACCUUCUCAACCCAGGGAUCGAAUCCAGGUCUCCCACAUUGCAGGCGGAUUCUUUACCAGCUGAUCCACAAAGGAAACCCACGAAUACUGGAGUGGGUAGCCUAUCCCUUGGCCAGGGGAUCUUCCCUACCCAGGAAUCGAACUGGGGUCUCCUGCGUUGCAGGCGGAUUCUUUACCAACUGAGCUAUGAGGGAAGCCCUAGGUUUGCUUUAGAAGCUCCAUUUCACUAAAAAGAAAACAAAGAAUCAGAGAGGUUAAGUUACCUCUCCGAGGUCACACAGCUUGUAAGGGCCAGGGUCAAGAUUCCAGUCUCCUCGGCUCAGGUAUUUCUACUCCAUCUCAGGCCGUCACCUCCGGAGUGUCUUUCUCAGUCCCCAGAGGCACCCUGUGACCCACUGAGAGUGGAAAAUUUCAGCCCUGUUCCAGAGGGCAGGCUCCUCCCUGGCCCCGACGCUGCCGCCUACCCGGCUGAUUUAUAG
Molecule: long non-coding RNA, 1151 nt
Organism: Bos taurus (domestic cattle)
Lineage: Eukaryota; Metazoa; Chordata; Mammalia; Artiodactyla; Bovidae
Source: Ensembl